This is an RNA transcript of Grammomys surdaster, 2606 nucleotides long. It is a transcript of the gene named linker for activation of T cells family member 2, with no coding region annotated. The transcript is spliced from 14 exons. The record is from RefSeq and is a predicted model, not a curated record. Lineage: Eukaryota; Metazoa; Chordata; Mammalia; Rodentia; Muridae.
GAUGAUUCAGUAGUGACAGGAAGCCAACUGCCUUGCCCGCUGCUUGCCAGAGUCUGUGGUGUUGGCGUCAGCUUGGGCAGGUGUGCGGACACAGGAUGAAGUGGCCAUGGUGAGGAGCCCUCACUCUCAGUUUUACAGACCCCUCCCCAAGCCAACAUGAGUGCCGAGCUAGAGCUGCUGUGGCCGGUGUCGGGACUAUUGCUGCUGCUGUUGGGGGCCACAGCCUGGCUGUGUGUCCACUGCUCCCGCCCAGGGGUGAAGAGAAAUGAGAAAAUCUACGAGCAGAGGAACCAUCAAGAAAAUGAACAGGGCUUAGCUGUGGUUCAGCAGACGUACUCCCUGGCCAGGCAGGUGAGGCCAGGACCCCUGAUGGACACAGCUUCAGACAAGUCAUUUGAAAGGAAGAACAAGCUACUCUUCUCCUACCUUGAGGCCUUUCUUCCAGGUCCUGAGUCCCCUAGGUACCAGAACUUCUACAAAGGAAGCAAAGACGAGCUUGAUGCUGCCUAUGUAGAUCCCAUCUCCACGGACUACUACAACUGGGGACGUUUCCAGAAGCCCCCAGAAGAGGAUGAUUCCAACUCAUACGAGAAUGUGCUCAUCUGCAAGCCCAGCACCCCCGAGUCAGGUGUCGAGGAAUCUGAGGAUUACCAGAACUCAGUAUCCAUCCAUCAGUGGCGAGAGUCCAAGAGGAUUAUGGGUGCACAAAGGUCCCUAUCAGGAAGCCCAGACGAGGAGCCAGAUUACGUGAAUGGGGAUGUGGCUGCAGCCGAGAAAAUCUAGGCGAGAAUCUGAAGGAAGGGGCUGAGGAUCGUGAGUUGAAGGUUUCCUGCCUGCUGAAUAAAGAAUGUCCUCCAGGGUUGCUCAAGUUUCACACCCUGGCUGUGGCUGCUCCUGGGAGGGGCGCCAGAACUGCCUGACACACAGCCUGCGAGACACUGGGAAUCGCCAGAGCCGAAACCCUCAAGUGAUGCCCUGACUUCUUGGGGGCAAGGCCCGUGCCGGGGACACUGACUGUGCUGACUGGGAGCCCAGGACCCGGGGCAAGGGCGGAAUGAGCAGCCCCUGUCUGGCUAGCCUGAAACUUGCUUUACAAACCAGGCUGGCCCUAACAAGAUCUGUCUGCUUCCUGCAUACGGGGAUGAAAAGCGCCACCACACCUGGCCUUCAGUUUAAAAACCGUGUCUGAGUAUAUUCCACGUGUGGGUGCCUGCAGAGUUCUGGAGACACUGGGACACUUGAAAUGCAGGCCCUUGUUGGCUGCCCCAUGGGAGUGCUAGGAACCCAACUAGGCUCCUCUGUAAGAACAGUUCAAGCCCAACUGCUGAGCCAUCUCAUCUCUCCCACUUUCUGAACAAGUGUCUGUCCCUGAGCUUGUAAGCCUGCCGAUUGGACAGCCCUGCUGGCCAGGCGAGCCCCAGGGAUCCUGGCUCUGACUUGCCAGCGCUAGGAUCACAGGCAUCUAUGCCUGUGCCUGGCUUGUUACUUGGGUUUUUGGGGAAUCCAAACUCAGGUAGAGGUUACAUAGCAUUUUACCCACCUCCCACCUUUAUUUGUAUAUGUGUGCACACACGCAUGCGACCACACACAUAAGCAUGGCUAGAGGUCAGAGGACAGCUCCGUGGAGCUGGUUCUUCUGCCCUCAUGAGGGCUCCAGGGAUGAGGCUCGGGUUGGCAGGCUUGGAAGACAAGUGCCUUCACCAGCUGAACCAUCUGUUAGUCUCACUGUAACCCAGGCAGCUGGCACUGAACCCAUGGCACCCCUUUGCCUCGGCACCCCAGCUGUUGGGGUUACAGGCCUGUGCCUCCACAGCUGGCUCUGGUAAAGACCCUUUCUGGAAAUGGAGAGGAAGGUGUUUGUUCUUGUUUUUCGAGAGUUCUCUGUGUCAGCUCUAGCUGUCCUGGAACUCAACUCUGCAGACCAUGCUGGCCUCAAACUCAGAGCUCUGCUUGCCUCUGCCUCCUGAGAGCUAGGAUUAAAGGUGUGUACCUCCACUGCCUGGUUUAAGAUUCUUAGUAGAAAUGACCCUGAGGUCCAGAGAGGAAUGGGCUGUGCACUGUAUAGCCAUCCCCUUUCCUUGGACACAAAUUCAUUCUGAGGAGAAAUGAAUGCUCUAAGUUAUUAUAUUAGAACACCUAGAACCCAACUGUUCUACAACACAUGGGAUGGUCUCGCUCACACUUCCCAGGCUGUCCUAGAUUCCCCAUAGCAGGGGCUAGCUUUGAACUUAGCCUCUGAGUGCUUGGCAUUAUGGGUUCUCAGAACUGAGGAGAUGGCUAAGCAGUUCUGUCUGCUCUUGCAGAGGACCCAGGUUCAAUUCCCAGCACCUCCAUGGAGGCUCACAACUACCUGUAACUCCCAUUCCAAGGGACCCAAUGCUCUCUUUUGGUCUUAGGCACUGUGUGUGUGCAGUGAGCAGGCACACAUGCAGGCAAAACACCCACACAUAAAAUAAAAAAAUCACUCAUACACAUUAAAUAAAUCAAUCACUGUAAAAAGUUAUGGUGUGUGCUACUGUGCCUGGUUUAAUUUCUUUAACUUUUAAUUAAAGAUUUUUAUGGGCUGGAGAGAUGGCUCAGCAGUUAAGAGCACAGACUGCUCUUCC